RNAcentral lists this small RNA (134 nucleotides) under Salmonella enterica subsp. enterica. RNAcentral's name for it is "RtT sRNA". It matches the Rfam family "RtT RNA". Rfam says of the family: This family represents a bacterial cis-regulatory element known as RtT RNA. The exact function of RtT is unknown although it is thought that it may be involved in changing the cellular response in relation to amino acid starvation. The record is from RNAcentral. Lineage: Bacteria; Pseudomonadati; Pseudomonadota; Gammaproteobacteria; Enterobacterales; Enterobacteriaceae. RNAcentral also lists the same sequence under 1 other name.
UGUAUCUGAAGUCUGACGAGGAUGAGAACCUCCGGGGGCAAGAGGUUCGACUCGGGCGAAGCGAGAGAACGUUGCGUCAGCAACGGCCCGCAGGGCGAGCCACGCAGUGGCGAGUCAUCCUCUAUCACCGACCA